RNAcentral lists this transfer RNA (74 nucleotides) under Leptinotarsa decemlineata (Colorado potato beetle). Its description in RNAcentral is "tRNA-Glu". It matches the Rfam family "tRNA". Rfam says of the family: Transfer RNA (tRNA) molecules are approximately 80 nucleotides in length. Lineage: Eukaryota; Metazoa; Arthropoda; Insecta; Coleoptera; Chrysomelidae. The record is from RNAcentral.
GGCUCGUUAGCUCAGUUGGUUAGAGCACCACACUUUCAACGUGGAGGUCGUGGGUUCGAAUCCCACAUGAGCCC